RNAcentral lists this ribosomal RNA (766 nucleotides) under uncultured bacterium. Its description in RNAcentral is "bacterial SSU rRNA". It matches the Rfam family "Bacterial small subunit ribosomal RNA", at positions 8 to 765 of the family's 1533-position model. The record is from RNAcentral.
AGAGUUUGAUCAUGGCUCAGAUUGAACGCUGGCGGCAGGCUUAACACAUGCAAGUCGAGCGGUAACAGGGGAAGCUUGCUUCCCGCUGACGAGCGGCGGACGGGUGAGUAAUGCUUAGGAAUCUGCCCAGUAGUGGGGGAUAGCCCGGGGAAACCCGGAUUAAUACCGCAUACGUCCUACGGGAGAAAGCAGGGGAUCUUCGGACCUUGCGCUAUUGGAUGAGCCUAAGUCGGAUUAGCUAGUUGGUGGGGUAAAGGCCUACCAAGGCGACGAUCCGUAGCUGGUCUGAGAGGAUGAUCAGCCACAUCGGGACUGAGACACGGCCCGAACUCCUACGGGAGGCAGCAGUGAGGAAUAUUGGACAAUGGGGGCAACCCUGAUCCAGCCAUGCCGCGUGUGUGAAGAAGGCUUUCGGGUUGUAAAGCACUUUCAGUAGGGAGGAAAACCUUAUGGUUAAUACCCAUGAGGCUUGACGUUACCUACAGAAGAAGCACCGGCUAACUCCGUGCCAGCAGCCGCGGUAAUACGGAGGGUGCAAGCGUUAAUCGGAAUUACUGGGCGUAAAGCGCGCGUAGGUGGUUUGGUAAGCGAGAUGUGAAAGCCCCGGGCUUAACCUGGGAACGGCAUUUCGAACUGUCAGACUAGAGUGUGGUAGAGGGUAGUGGAAUUUCCUGUGUAGCGGUGAAAUGCGUAGAUAUAGGAAGGAACACCAGUGGCGAAGGCGGCUACCUGGACCAACACUGACACUGAGGUGCGAAAGCGUGGG